GAUGAACGCUGGCGGCGUGCCUAAUACAUGCAAGUCGAGCGAACAGACGAGGAGCUUGCUCCUCUGACGUUAGCGGCGGACGGGUGAGUAACACGUGGAUAACCUACCUAUAAGACUGGGAUAACUUCGGGAAACCGGCGCUAAUACCGGAUAAUAUAUUGAACCGCAUGGUUCAAUAGUGAAAGACGGUUUUGCUGUCACUUAUAGAUGGAUCCGCGCCGCAUUAGCUAGUUGGUAAGGUAACGGCUUACCAAGGCAACGAUGCGUAGCCGACCUGAGAGGGUGAUCGGCCACACUGGAACUGAGACACGGUCCAGACUCCUACGGGAGGCAGCAGUAGGGAAUCGUCCGCAAUGGGCGAAAGCCUGACGGAGCAACGCCGCGUGAGUGAUGAAGGUCUUCGGAUCGUAAAACUCUGUUAUUAGGGAAGAACAAAUGUGUAAGUAACUAUGCACGUCUUGACGGUACCUAAUCAGAAAGCCACGGCUAACUACGUG
This 497-nucleotide ribosomal RNA is filed under the name uncultured bacterium. RNAcentral's name for it is "partial 16S ribosomal RNA". It matches the Rfam family "Bacterial small subunit ribosomal RNA", at positions 28 to 507 of the family's 1533-position model. The record is from RNAcentral.